This 103-nucleotide microRNA precursor is filed under the name Marmota monax (woodchuck). The record is from RNAcentral. Lineage: Eukaryota; Metazoa; Chordata; Mammalia; Rodentia; Sciuridae.
AGUGGGAUAGCUGGGUCAAAUGGUGGUCCCAUUCCAAGUUUUCUGAGGAAUCUCCAUACUGCUUUCCAGAGUGGUUGCACCAGUUUGCAGUCCCACCAGCAGU